UAAAAUUUCUCAAUAAAGUUUCACUAGAAAUCUCACCAUUAAAGUUUCCCCACCAAAAUUUCCCCCCGUUACUAUUCCCCCAACUUUGAAAGGGGCAAGGAGUGUACCCCUAUAUCAAUUUUGAAUAGCCAUACCAUAUUCCUCCUCCUCCGCUUAAUCUCGAUCCAUCGGCUCAUGCUGAUGUUACCACUCCUCCCACCAUCAUCUUUUCGCUGAAAAUGAUCAACUCAUCACUACACAAAUAUUUGCUCUUUUGAUUGCUAUGAACAGGUCAAAGAGAAAAAAGAUUAUAUGAUGAUGGAGCACAGGAGAGCUACAAAAUUCAGUUUUGGGUAGUAGUUGAUGAUUGAGUGUAAUCCACCACCAGGUUCAAACUUUUAUCGUCGUCCGUGGUAAAGGUCCCGAUAGACAGGUCGAGAGCCCUCUAAGUAGGCUAUCAGCUCAGCGGAAGAUGUUGGUACGCUCCAUUCGCUUCGGAGUUGCUUGUUUGGUUAGCAUGGUUUAGACGUGUUUUAUUUGGUAUGGCGGGACUCUGUCCCGACCUUUAUAAUAAUAAUGUAUUCUUAGAGGCUUGUAGACAGAUGUCAUGUACGUAAAAGAUUGUAUGGCCUUGUCGGCCUAUAUUCAGUAUACCAGUGGUAAUUUUGGUCUUGUAGGCCCGUAUGUCUUAUGCAUAAGUUGGUUUCACAUGUUGUAUUCAAC
Long non-coding RNA from Nicotiana attenuata, 702 nucleotides. RefSeq lists it as uncharacterized. The transcript has 4 exons. NCBI's taxonomy places the organism in Eukaryota, Viridiplantae, Streptophyta, Magnoliopsida, Solanales, Solanaceae. The record is from RefSeq and is a predicted model, not a curated record.